AGAACGAACGCUGGCGGCAUGCCUAACACAUGCAAGUCGAACGCCUGUAGCAAUACAGGAGUGGCGCACGGGUGAGUAACGCGUGGGAACCUACCCUGGAGUGGGGGAUAACCGAGAGAAAUUUCGGCUAAUACCGCAUACGACCUGAGGGUGAAAGAUUUAUCGCUCUAGGAGGGGCCCGCGUCGGAUUAGCUAGUUGGUGAGGUAACGGCCUACCAAGGCAACGAUCCGUAGCUGGUCUGAGAGGAUGAUCAGCCACACUGGGACUGAGACACGGCCCAGACUCCUACGGGAGGCAGCAGUGGGAAUAUUGGACAAUGGGGGCAACCCUGAUCCAGCAAUGCCGCGUGAGUGAUGAAGGCCUUAGGGUUGUAAAGCUCUUUCGGGCGGGACGAUGAUGACGGUACCCGCAGAAGAGCCCCGGCUAACUUCGCGCCAGCAGCCGC
This 446-nucleotide ribosomal RNA is filed under the name uncultured bacterium. RNAcentral describes it as "SSU rRNA". It matches the Rfam family "Bacterial small subunit ribosomal RNA", at positions 26 to 518 of the family's 1533-position model. The record is from RNAcentral.